Molecule: ribosomal RNA, 429 nt
Filed under: Gemmatimonadota bacterium
Lineage: Bacteria; Pseudomonadati; Gemmatimonadota
Description: Gemmatimonadetes bacterium partial 16S ribosomal RNA
Rfam family: Bacterial small subunit ribosomal RNA
Source: RNAcentral
UAGGGAAUCUUCGGCAAUGGACGAAAGUCUGACCGAGCAACGCCGCGUGAGUGAAGAAGGCUUUCGGAUCGUAAAACUCUGUUGUUAGAGAAGAACAAGGACGUUAGUAACUGAACGUCCCCUGACGGUAUCUAACCAGAAAGCCACGGCUAACUACGUGCCAGCAGCCGCGGUAAUACGUAGGUGGCAAGCGUUGUCCGGAAUUAUUGGGCGUAAAGCGAGCGCAGGCGGUUUCUUAAGUCUGAUGUGAAAGCCCCCGGCUCAACCGGGGAGGGUCAUUUGAAACUGGGAGACUUGAGUGCAGAAGAGGAGAGUGGAAUUCCAUGUGUAGCGGUGAAAUGCGUAGAUAUAUGGAGGAACACCAGUGGCGAAGGCGGCUCUCUGGUCUGUAACUGACGCUGAGGCGCGAAAGCGUGGGGAGCAAACAGG